This 489-nucleotide ribosomal RNA is filed under the name uncultured bacterium. Its description in RNAcentral is "partial 16S ribosomal RNA". It matches the Rfam family "Bacterial small subunit ribosomal RNA", at positions 30 to 507 of the family's 1533-position model. The record is from RNAcentral.
AUUGAACGCUGGCGGCAGGCCUAACACAUGCAAGUCGAACGGUAACAGGAAGAAGCUUGCUUCUUUGCUGACGAGUGGCGGACGGGUGAGUAAUGUCUGGGAAACUGCCUGAUGGAGGGGGAUAACUACUGGAAACGGUAGCUAAUACCGCAUAACGUCGCAAGACCAAGAGGGGGACCUUCGGGCCUCUUGCCAUCGGAUGUGCCCAGAUGGGAUUAGCUAGUAGGUGGGGUAACGGCUCACCUAGGCGACGAUCCCUAGCUGGUCUGAGAGGAUGACCAGCCACACUGGAACUGAGACACGGUCCAGACUCCUACGGGAGGCAGCAGUGGGGAAUAUUGCACAAUGGGCGCAAGCCUGAUGCAGCCAUGCCGCGUGUAUGAAGAAGGCCUUCGGGUUGUAAAGUACUUUCAGCGGGGAGGAAGGGAGUAAAGUUAAUACCUUUACUCAUUGACGUUACCCGCAGAAGAAGCACCGGCUAACUCCGUG